Molecule: ribosomal RNA, 1095 nt
Filed under: Hynobius nebulosus (clouded salamander)
Lineage: Eukaryota; Metazoa; Chordata; Amphibia; Caudata; Hynobiidae
Description: partial 16S ribosomal RNA
Rfam family: Bacterial large subunit ribosomal RNA (bases 169-1035)
Source: RNAcentral
GUAGUAAAUUUAGCCUAUUUUACCUUAAUAAUUAAUAACACUUUAAAACUAAAUAAUAAAACAUUUUAUCAUUUUAAUAUAGGAGAUAGAAAAAUUCAUUAGCGCAAUAUAAAUAGUACUGUAAAGGAAAAAUGAAAUAGAAAUUAAAUAAAUCAUAAAAACAAUAAAAAGCAAAGAUUUAACCUUUUACCUUUUGCAUCAUGGUCUAGUAAGUUUAACCUAACGCAAAGAACUUAAGUUAGACACCCCGAAACUAAACGAGCUACUACGAAGCAGCAGAACGAGCCAACCCUUCUCUGUGGCAAAAGAGUGGGAUGACUUCCUAGUAGUGGUGAUAAACCUAACGAGUUUAGUAAUAGCUGGUUACUUAAUAAAUGAACUUAAAUUCAACUUAAAAUAUCUUUUAACAAGUAAAGUAAAAAAUAAUAUUUUAAAGUUAAUUAAUAGGGGUUCAGCUCUAUUAAUAAAGGAUACAACCUAAAAUAAUGAAUAAUGAUUAUAUUAAUUAAAGAAAUUAAUUAUGUGGGCCUAAAAGCAGCAAUCAACUACAAAAGCGUUAAAGCUUAAUUUAAUAAAUCUUAUUAUAACAAUAAAUAAUCUUAAUUCAUCAUAACUAUUAAGUUAAUCUAUAUAAAUAGAUGAAAUUAUACUAGAAUGAGUAAUAAGAAAAUAUUCUCUUAGUGCAAGUGUAAAUCAGAACGAAUAUUUCUCUGAUAAUUAACGAACCUAUUGAGGGGAUAAUAUUAUUUUACAAGAAAAAUCUAUUUUACCCAUCGUUAACCCAACACAGGAGCACAUUAGAAAGAUUAAAAAUAUAGGAAGGAACUCGGCAAACACGAACUUCGCCUGUUUACCAAAAACAUCGCCUCUUGCAAUUAAGGUAUAAGAGGUCCUGCCUGCCCAGUGACACCAAGUUUAACGGCCGCGGUAUUAUGACCGUGCAAAGGUAGCGUAAUCACUUGUCUUCUAAAUAAAGACCAGUAUGAAUGGCAAGACGAAAGUUCAACUGUCUCCCUAAAUUAAUCAUUGAAAUUGAUUUUUCCGUGCAGAAGCGGAAAUAUAAAUAUAAGACGAGAAGACCCUAUGGAGCUUUAA